ACUCUCUUAGGCAGCAUAUAUACUAAAAUUGGAAUGGUACACAGAAGAUUAGCAUGGGCUCUGUGCGAGGAUAACACAUAGAUUCCUGAAGUCCAUAUUUUU
Small nuclear RNA from Nycticebus coucang (slow loris), 102 nucleotides. Lineage: Eukaryota; Metazoa; Chordata; Mammalia; Primates; Lorisidae. The record is from RefSeq and is a predicted model, not a curated record.